RNAcentral lists this transfer-messenger RNA (385 nucleotides) under Candidatus Omnitrophota bacterium. RNAcentral describes it as "Candidatus Omnitrophica bacterium (groundwater metagenome) transfer-messenger RNA". It matches the Rfam family "transfer-messenger RNA". Rfam says of the family: Bacterial tmRNA, also known as 10Sa RNA or SsrA, is named for its dual tRNA and mRNA-like properties. Its role is to liberate the mRNA from a stalled ribosome. To accomplish this part of the tmRNA is used as a reading frame that ends in a translation stop signal. Lineage: Bacteria; Pseudomonadati; Candidatus Omnitrophota. The record is from RNAcentral.
GGGGCUGAUGAGUUUCGACAGGGAUCGAUCUUUGAAAGGGGAGCAUGCCGAGGUUGUGAGGAGGCCUCGUGAAACACCUCACACUACAAUAAAAGCUGAUAAACUCAGCUGGGCGAAUCGGUCUUUCGGACCGGUCGCUCUUCCUCUCGCCGUCUAAAGUACGGCGACAUCUCUGGGGGCUUCGGCCCGUGGGCCUCUUGGGGUGACGAAUCAACGGGCUCGGUUCAGGCAAUCGCUUUCAGGGCCUGGACUCAGCCGAAUGAAAGCUGGUUCCGAAAAAUCCUCUCUAUGGGAGUUUUGGGAACGAGAUCAAAUCAUAGGGUAAGCAUGUAGCGCUUCUUCAGGGAGGUUCUCUGGACGCGGGUGCAAGUCCCGCCAGCUCCAG